This 81-nucleotide small RNA is filed under the name Arabidopsis thaliana (thale cress). RNAcentral's name for it is "ATSL019000". The record is from RNAcentral. Lineage: Eukaryota; Viridiplantae; Streptophyta; Magnoliopsida; Brassicales; Brassicaceae.
AUUAGCUAUGUAAACUUUCUAUCUCUGCUUUGGCUCUCUAAACCGUUUUAGUUAUGAAAGCGGUUUAGAUAAAAAGAAAUU